AAAACUACACUGCGGUUUAUAUUAAAACCGUUAAUACAUAUUUAAUAUACCAGAUUAUUCUAUUUCAGUAAAGUCGAAAAGGAGAUUUUAUGACGCGACGACAGCGGAGCUAUUGCGAUCACCGUCACUCACUCUCGUCGACGUUUUGGUGGAUGCCAGGUGAUUUCAUAAGCAAGAGAAGUUGAAACAGCGGGCUUUCGUGCAUUACAAAUCAUCGGCUCGGGUUACUUGAAGAAUCAGAGAAGAACCGAAGCAGUAUGUCAUAAGCGCCUCUAUCUCAACAAUCUACCAUGACAUUAUCAUCCAAUAGAGAGAUCGUAAUUAAGGGAACCAAGAGUUACAGAAACUAGUCAACUUCUUUCUUACAUCAGAUUCAUAAACAAUCUAACUGGAUCUACUUGCUUGCCCUUAGCUGGACCAAGUAUCUUGACAAACCACUUCGGCUUGAAUGAAGCAAUAACGUGUGCCAUUACCAAUCCAAGUAACAGUCCAGGCCAAUACCCGAAAAACACUGCUUUCCACUCAAUCACUUCGUCCUCUUCUUCUUCUUCGUCUUCUUCCUUGGGAUAUUUUGUUGGUGGCGCAACGCAACUUCCUUGGAGAGGAAGACCACAGAGACCUACAUUCCCUUCAAAUGAUGAUUCAGCUUGCCCACUAAACUGUGGUCCCUGUGGUAUUUCACCUUUGAGUUGGUUAUGAGCUACACUUAUGUACGCCAGAAAUGAGAGGCUCCCGAGUUCUCUUGGAAUAUUCCCUGAUAGUUGAUUUCUUGACAGGUCUAGUGACUCGAGCUCCGUAACAUUUGCCAAAGACAUAGGAAUAUGGCCAGUGAAGGCGUUGUUCGAUAAGUUGAGCGCUAUCAAUUCCUUCAACAGACCAAUAGACUCAGGAAUCUGUCCUUCAAGUUUGUUUCCAGAGAAAUCAAUGGUGCUGUAGAAACUCGGGAAACGCGAGAGGACCUCGAUCAGGAGGAGAGAGAUGGCCGAAGAAUCUGUUUGAACGGAGAGUCAAGACAUGCAAAUUGGGUAGCGCCUUCAGCCAGAAAGGAAACGUGUCUUCAAUUCUGUUGUUGUCAACACUCAGAAACCUCAGAGAGGAGCAAUUCAAAAGUGAUUUUGGAAGCUUCCCGGUUAGUCGAUUAUAGCCAACGUCAAGCGUCUGUGUCUUAGCACCGCUAUGGAACUCGUCAGGAUAGAUCAAGGACGAUGAGAGAGCUUCGGUUGCAGAUUGAGAGAGGUAUGUUCCCUGUGAAACUAUUGUUCCACGCAGACAAGUAGAUCGAACCGAGUGGUGGAGUAGGAAACGCUCCUGUCAUGGAGUUAUAGGCAAAAUCUAGUAACUGCACUGAUGAGUUAAGUAAAACUUCUGAAGAACCUUCGAAACCAGUCAAAGAAUUGUUAACAAGAUUUGCUAUGCUAAGACGAGGAAGCUUCCAAAACCACUCAGGUACUUUCCCUUUGAUUAGAUUGUUGGAAAUGUCUAUAUGCUCCAAGUUUUGAAGGGUCUUAAAGAUGUUUGGAAACUCGAUAAUGUCGCACUGGAUCAAAAUCAAGCUUAUUAAGCUCAAUGGAAACUCUGAAUCUGAACUUAAACUGGCUGGUAAUAACCUAUUUUGACGAAUAUCAAAGACCAACAAAGAUUUGAGAGGAGCGAAGACGCGUAAGUCAAUUGGGUGACUUAUGUUUAGGGAAGCAAGUUCAAGAUGGUUGAGGUUUAUGAGCUUUGAGAUAGGCUCUAUGAUUUUUCCUUCAAAUUGGUUAAACCCAAGGGACAAACGAACUAGCUUAGAUGAAGAAGAAGAGUUUGGGACAUCAAUAGAACCAGUGAGAUGAUUCUUUUUCAGAUCAAGAUAAGACAAGAAAGGCAAAGUGGGUAGUAAAUCAAAAGGUAUGGCUCCUGAGAAUUGAUUGUAAGAAAGGUCUAAAAAGGAAAGCUUUGUUAGGUUUCUUACAGGUGGGAAACUACCAGUGAGCUCAUUAUGGGAAAGGUUUAAAUGGGUAAGCAAGAUAAGGUUACUAAUUGAGGAAGGAACUUGACCAGUAAAGCUACUAGAGGCAAGAGACAAAACCUCUAAUCUGGUGAGAUUGCUGAAUUCAGAAGGGAGUGAAGAGGAAGUGAAGUUGUUGUGAGAGAGAUUAAGGUAACGAAGCUGAUGCAACUCAAAGAGACUACUGUUUGGUUUGAGAGUUCCAGUGAAGCAACCACUUGGGAGCUGAAGCUUCGUGACCGCACCAGUCGUGUUAUCACACUGGACUCCGUUUAAGUAGUCACUGCGGUUGCAGCCGUCAGAUUCAAACUCAUUCUUGAAUUGGAUUAGAGCUUGGAUCUGGUCAGGAAGACAAGCAAGAGCGUCGGUCGUCAAGAAGCUUGAAACGAAGACGAUACAGUAGAGUAAGAGUAGCGAGCAAAAAUGCAAACGCAUGGUGUUUGUGAUUGAACCAACAAGUUGAGGAAAUUAUUGAACCCAAAAAAAGACAUAUCAAAGAUUUGCUAUAUAUAUGUUAUUUUAAGCCGCCUUUACUAAAUAUGUGGGGUUUAAAUGUCACGUGAAAUGUCUACGAGUCACAUUUGUUCAUGAAGUAAAUUCCACGUGGACAUCUCUG
This 2603-nucleotide long non-coding RNA is filed under the name Arabidopsis thaliana (thale cress). RNAcentral's name for it is "potential natural antisense gene, locus overlaps with AT2G33050 (AT2G33051)". Lineage: Eukaryota; Viridiplantae; Streptophyta; Magnoliopsida; Brassicales; Brassicaceae. The record is from RNAcentral.